AUUGAACGCUGGCGGCAGGCUUAACACAUGCAAGUCGAGCGGGGUGAUGGUGCUUGCACUAUCACUUAGCGGCGGACGGGUGAGUAAUGUUUAGGAAUCUGCCUAUUAGUGGGGGACAACAUCUCGAAAGGGAUGCUAAUACCGCAUACGUCCUACGGGAGAAAGCAGGGGAUCACUUGUGACCUUGCGCUAAUAGAUGAGCCUAAGUCGGAUUAGCUAGUUGGUGGGGUAAAGGCCUACCAAGGCGACGAUCUGUAGCGGGUCUGAGAGGAUGAUCCGCCACACUGGGACUGAGACACGGCCCAGACUCCUACGGGAGGCAGCAGUGGGGAAUAUUGGACAAUGGGGGGAACCCUGAUCCAGCCAUGCCGCGUGUGUGAAGAAGGCCUUAUGGUUGUAAAGCACUUUAAGCGAGGAGGAGGCUCUUUUGGUUAAUACCCAAGAUGAGUGGACGUUACUCGCAGAAUAGCACCGGCUAACUCUGUGCCAGCCGCCGCGGUAA
RNAcentral lists this ribosomal RNA (502 nucleotides) under uncultured bacterium. RNAcentral's name for it is "partial 16S ribosomal RNA". It matches the Rfam family "Bacterial small subunit ribosomal RNA", at positions 30 to 523 of the family's 1533-position model. The record is from RNAcentral.